Molecule: long non-coding RNA, 1078 nt
Filed under: Pan troglodytes (chimpanzee)
Lineage: Eukaryota; Metazoa; Chordata; Mammalia; Primates; Hominidae
Description: long non-coding RNA NONPTRT006315
Source: RNAcentral
GCUAUGGGUACCAGAUUGACGCCCAGCCAAGCAGAAUCCUGCCUUGGGCUUUACACUAACGGAAGGUCCUUUUUCUUAUGGUUAGGGGACCCAGAAGGCCGGCAGCAGGGUUCCCUGACAAAAGCAUGUAGUUGAGUACAAGUAUCAAUCCGAGGGACAAGAGGGAGAGACAAGAACCAGUCUCAGCUGCAUUCACAUCCUGGACCCUGUCAUCUCAAAGCCAGUUCCCUCCCUGCCUUCCAACUUGGUUUCAUUCACUUUGGAUUGAGUUGCGUUCUCACUGAACAGAAACCCACAACCCAAAACAAGGGCAGCCCAUGGCCGUGAUUAAGCUCUGCACCAGUGGCGAAGGGAUGGAGUGGGAGACCAGAAUUCCAGCUCUGCCCUCUGUGCGGCCUCAAGGGAGUUAUGAACUUCUGAGCCUUAGACAUGCUUCCUGAGCUGCCACCAAGCUGCCUCAUGGGGCUGUCCUAAGGAUUAAUGUAUUAAUCCAAUCCCAGGCACAUCAGUCAUUAAUAAAAUUAAGGAUACGGUGACAACUAAGCCCACUACCUUUGGAAGUAACUCCUUACUAACUACAUUAAACCCAAACUCGAGGCUCUGGAAAAGAGGAUGCCAGCUGGGAGACAAAACGGCAGAAAGGAAGGUUUCUCCAGGCUCUGGCCAGACAAAAUCCUUCUCUGCAGAAGAUGCUGCUCCAGGGUCCCAACUCUGGCCACAGUCCCCUUUUCCCACCAAGUUUCUGUACCCCAGCAGUUCUCUCCAAAAUCCAUCAGACCCCAAAACCCGAGAAUGGACCUCUGAUGAAAGCAUCUGAGAGCCGUCCAGCCCCAAAAGGAGACAAGCAGGGUCACAUCUGGGUUCCAGAAGCGUCCAGGGAAGCAAACCACUGAUUUAUACACACCAGAAAAGAUACCUGAGAGUGUAUAUUUAUAGAAAGAUACAUAGAAAUGGACAGAUGGCAUCUAUCUAUAGAUACAGAAAGCUCUGUUAGAGAACCGUGUAGGUACGUAUGUAUCUGCCACAUCCUCCACCACAACCAACAGCACACAAUUGCCUGGAUCUUGGAAAACCACGC